UACGUAGGGGGCAAGCGUUGUCCGGAAUUAUUGGGCGUAAAGAGCUCGUAGGCGGUCUGUCGCGUCGGCUGUGAAAACUCGGGGCUCAACUCCGAGCUUGCAGUCGAUACGGGCAGGCUAGAGUGCGGCAGGGGAGACUGGAAUUCCUGGUGUAGCGGUGAAAUGCGCAGAUAUCAGGAGGAACACCUGCGGCGAAGGCGGGUAGCUGGGCCGACACUGACGCUGAUGCGCGAAAGCCAGGGGAGCGAACGGG
This 253-nucleotide ribosomal RNA is filed under the name uncultured bacterium. RNAcentral describes it as "partial 16S ribosomal RNA". It matches the Rfam family "Bacterial small subunit ribosomal RNA", at positions 524 to 776 of the family's 1533-position model. The record is from RNAcentral.